AUGGAUCACCUAACGCCUGAGGGCGAGGCGAUUUAUGAGACGAUUACUCAGGCAAGCGAGGUGGCUCAUCUCCGCCACCAGAAAGAGCUCGACGCGCUUAUUGUGAAGAUCGUGGGGAGCGCAGUGGAGGCAGCGGUGUCGCGCUCUGUUGGAGCGGUGGUCGAUAAGGCCGUCGAGGCGGCGAUGGAGACGGUCGUCAAUGACCUCCAGGCGUACACCAAUGGCGCCGAGGCGGAGCUACUCAAGCAGAUCCAGGACCUGCGCAUCGCCAAGGGCACCUCCUUCCGCACUAGAGAGAUGGAGGGGUGCGAGCGCUCGCCGAAGGGGCCGCCAGAUGCAGGCGUCACGGGGCUUCGUGCAUCCACGCAAGUUCGGGGUACAUGA
Molecule: ribosomal RNA, 384 nt
Filed under: Triticum aestivum (bread wheat)
Lineage: Eukaryota; Viridiplantae; Streptophyta; Magnoliopsida; Poales; Poaceae
Description: partial small subunit ribosomal RNA
Source: RNAcentral